Solanum pennellii is the source of this 633-nucleotide long non-coding RNA. RefSeq lists it as uncharacterized. The record is from RefSeq and is a predicted model, not a curated record. The transcript is spliced from 2 exons. NCBI's taxonomy places the organism in Eukaryota, Viridiplantae, Streptophyta, Magnoliopsida, Solanales, Solanaceae.
UCGCCUGCAAAAAUGAAGAGUCCGCGCAACUUAGGUACACACACUUUAAUUCCAAUUCAGAGACCAGUUAUGUAAAUAGCUAGGAAAAUUAUGAACUUUCUUCAAAUUUUAGUUGUGACAGUAGGGUACUAAGGUCUCCUCAAUCUCUCAAGCAGUUUGAUUUCACAUCCAUAAAGUUAUUGAACACUAUGUUCUUCCAAUUAGUAUAAAUUCAUGGCUUAUACGAUAAGUGAUUCUUAGAGAUAAUUCUGGUUUAACAAGGUUGACACCAUAAAUAGUUCUCAGGUGUAAUUCUGGUUAAACAGAAAGCAUGAGAAACCCAUCCAUUAUUGCUGCUUUAUGCAAGAGUUCAUAUGGAAUCAGCACUCACUGAGGUUACAUGAUAUUCUUUCAUGAUUUCGAAAGUAGAUAGCAGCAUUUAUGGAUUGGCAGUCUCAUUCAAAAUUAACAACCGUAACAAUCAGCUCAACUUUCAAAAGGAGGAGAAAAUAAGAUGCAGAUGAAUACAUGUGAUGCCCAAAACUCAGAGAAUAGACAAAUAACUGAUGCAGAAUGGGAUGAUUGACUUGUAAAUGUAAUUCAGAUGACACCAACUACAGUUUGAGAUACAAAAAAAAAAACAAUUUAUUUCUA